Molecule: ribosomal RNA, 562 nt
Filed under: Colletotrichum acutatum
Lineage: Eukaryota; Fungi; Ascomycota; Sordariomycetes; Glomerellales; Glomerellaceae
Description: eukaryotic LSU rRNA
Rfam family: 5.8S ribosomal RNA (bases 198-351)
Source: RNAcentral
CAGCGGAGGACAUUACUGAGUUACCGCUCUAUAACCCUUUGUGAACAUACCUAACCGUUGCUUCGGCGGGCAGGGGAAGCCUCUCGCGGGCCUCCCCUCCCGGCGCCGGCCCCCACCACGGGGACGGGGCGCCCGCCGGAGGAAACCAAACUCUAUUUACACGACGUCUCUUCUGAGUGGCACAAGCAAAUAAUUAAAACUUUUAACAACGGAUCUCUUGGUUCUGGCAUCGAUGAAGAACGCAGCGAAAUGCGAUAAGUAAUGUGAAUUGCAGAAUUCAGUGAAUCAUCGAAUCUUUGAACGCACAUUGCGCUCGCCAGCAUUCUGGCGAGCAUGCCUGUUCGAGCGUCAUUUCAACCCUCAAGCACCGCUUGGUUUUGGGGCCCCACGGCACACGUGGGCCCUUAAAGGUAGUGGCGGACCCUCCCGGAGCCUCCUUUGCGUAGUAACUAACGUCUCGCACUGGGAUUCGGAGGGACUCUUGCCGUAAAACCCCCCCAUUUUUUACAGGUUGACCUCGGAUCAGGUAGGAAUACCCGCUGAACUUAAGCAUAUCAAAAGC